ACAUUGCUGAGUAGUCCCACAAUAGGACGAAAUGGCCGUCCAGUGU
Molecule: non-coding RNA, 46 nt
Organism: Schistosoma margrebowiei
Lineage: Eukaryota; Metazoa; Platyhelminthes; Trematoda; Strigeidida; Schistosomatidae
Source: Rfam